This 459-nucleotide ribosomal RNA is filed under the name uncultured bacterium. RNAcentral's name for it is "partial 16S ribosomal RNA". It matches the Rfam family "Bacterial small subunit ribosomal RNA", at positions 338 to 795 of the family's 1533-position model. The record is from RNAcentral.
CCUACGGGGGGCAGCAGUGAGGAAUAUUGGUCAAUGGACGAGAGUCUGAACCAGCCAAGUAGCGUGAAGGAUGACUGCCCUAUGGGUUGUAAACUUCUUUUAUAUGGGAAUAAAAUGUUCCACGUGUGGGAUUUUGUAUGUACCAUAUGAAUAAGGAUCGGCUAACUCCGUGCCAGCAGCCGCGGUAAUACGGAGGAUCCGAGCGUUAUCCGGAUUUAUUGGGUUUAAGGGAGCGUAGGUGGAUUGUUAAGUCAGUUGUGAAAGUUUGCGGCUCAACCGUAAAAUUGCAGUUGAAACUGGCAGUCUUGAGUACAGUAGAGGUGGGCGGAAUUCGUGGUGUAGCGGUGAAAUGCUUAGAUAUCACGAAGAACUCCGAUUGCGAAGGCAGUUCACUGGACUGCAACUGACACUGAGGCUCGAAAGUGUGGGUAUCAAACAGGAUUAAAUACCCCUGUAGUC